GCCUGGACGUUGACUGGACGUUCAUCGGUGCUUGGACGCUGGCUGGACGUUGAUCGCUGCUUGGACGUUGGCUGA
This 75-nucleotide microRNA precursor is filed under the name Petromyzon marinus (sea lamprey). RNAcentral's name for it is "microRNA pma-mir-4629 precursor". The record is from miRBase by way of RNAcentral. Lineage: Eukaryota; Metazoa; Chordata; Hyperoartia; Petromyzontiformes; Petromyzontidae.